UCUUCUAGUCCAACCCCCUGCUCAGGCUGGAGACCCUACACAAUUCCAGGCAAACGGUUGCCCAAUCUCUUCUUUUGUAACCUCCAGUGAUGAAAAGUGUAAUUUUCUCUGGAAACCAUUUAGGUCAAAAGGGGCAGCCAUAAAAAAAAAAGGGUCGUAAGUUUAAGGCCAAGGUCGCUGUGAGUAAUACCACAACGGCCACAGAAACAUCAAAUAAGGAGGAACUCCAUGCCCACAAACUAUUCAGCGGCUUCUUUAUAAAUUCUGCAAGGCUUCAUCCUCAAUUCACUUCUCUCCCCGAGUUCCUGAAGACUCCUCCCAUCGGAUCUCCCAGCCGAGGUUCCUUCAAGUCCUCCUACUAGAAUCCACAGGGAAACAUGUUUGGCCCCCAAACUCCGCAGUGGGGGCAACCUCUGAUGUGUGGGAUGCCACUACCUCCGAUGUGUGGGAUGCCACUACCUGAGAUGUAUGGGAUGCCACCACCUCAGAUGUAUGGGAUGCCACCACCUCAGAUGUAUGGGAUGGCACCACCUCAGAUGUAUGGGAUGCCACCACCUCAGAUGCCACCUCAGAUGUCUGGCGGCCAAGCUCAGAUGUCUGGCGGCCAACGUCAGAUGUCUGGCGGCCAAUCUCAGCCGUGCUACCGCCCAUGUUAGCUGUGCUGCCCCCUCCCCAGCAACGCUUCCGCAAGUAGAAGGACCAAAAUCCAAGAUGCUGUUUAGAAGCUGUUGAAGGGAACGUCCGGAAGGAGAACGGAGAAGGAGAAGGUCCAUCUCUUGGCUUCCAGCCUCAACCCAACACGGAAGCCCACCAAGAAAACAAGACCCUGGGAAUUGAUGCUGGGGUGGCCUAUUCCGUUGGCUCCUCGAAGGCCAAACCAACCACCGAAGGCCCACGCGGAUGGAGAACUCGGCAGCCAAAACCAUCACGAGAACUUCCAAGAAGAACCGGUCUCCUGAUCCUUCAUCAUGUCAUGGUCUUCUCCUGCCUUCCCCCUUCUGGUGUUUUGCCCUGCGCUCUGCUUGUCCCCUGGCAAAAUGUUAUUAAAAUGCAUGAAUUAGCCGGCA
Long non-coding RNA from Thamnophis elegans (Western terrestrial garter snake), 1067 nucleotides. RefSeq lists it as uncharacterized. The record is from RefSeq and is a predicted model, not a curated record. Lineage: Eukaryota; Metazoa; Chordata; Lepidosauria; Squamata; Natricidae. The transcript has 3 exons.